AAUUGGCUGUGUGGAGAGAUCCCCCAAGGAAGAACCUUCAACAUCUUCCCUGUGGCUGCUUAUGCCCAUAAUCAAUGGUUAU
Long non-coding RNA from Telopea speciosissima, 82 nucleotides. RefSeq lists it as uncharacterized. The transcript has 3 exons. Lineage: Eukaryota; Viridiplantae; Streptophyta; Magnoliopsida; Proteales; Proteaceae. The record is from RefSeq and is a predicted model, not a curated record.